RNAcentral lists this ribosomal RNA (497 nucleotides) under uncultured bacterium. RNAcentral describes it as "partial 16S ribosomal RNA". It matches the Rfam family "Bacterial small subunit ribosomal RNA", at positions 28 to 507 of the family's 1533-position model. The record is from RNAcentral.
GACGAACGCUGGCGGCGUGCCUAAUACAUGCAAGUAGAACGCUGAAGAGAGGAGCUUGCUCUUCUUGGAUGAGUUGCGAACGGGUGAGUAACGCGUAGGUAACCUGCCUUGUAGCGGGGGAUAACUAUUGGAAACGAUAGCUAAUACCGCAUAACAAUGGAUGACACAUGUCAUUUAUUUGAAAGGGGCAAUUGUUCCACUACAAGAUGGACCUGCGUUGUAUUAGCUAGUAGGUGAGGUAAUGGCUCACCUAGGCGACGAUACAUAGCCGACCUGAGAGGGUGAUCGGCCACACUGGGACGGAGACACGGCCCAGACUCCUACGGGAGGCAGCAGGAGGGGAUCUUCGGCAAUGGGGGCAACCCUGACCGAGCAACGCCGCGUGAGUGAAGGAGGUUGUCGGAUCGUAAAGCUCUGUUGUAAGUCAAGAACGGGUGUGAGAGUGGAAAGUUCACACUGUGACGGUAGCUUACCAGAAAGGGACGGCUAACUACGUG